AUUAGGGUUCGAUUCCGGAGAGGGAGCCUGAGAAACGGCUACCACAUCUAAGGAAGGCAGCAGGCGCGCAAAUUACCCAAUCCUAAUACAGGGAGGUAGUGACAAGAAAUAACAAUACAGGACCUUUCGGUUUUGUAAUUGGAAUGAGUUAAGUAUAAACCCCUUUACAAGUAUCAAUUGGAGGGCAAGUCUGGUGCCAGCAGCCGCGGUAAUUCCAGCUCCAAUAGCGUAUAUUAAAGUUGUUGCAGUUAAAAAGCUCGUAGUUGGAUUUCUGUUAAUUACUUUAUAUAAUUUUACACUUUUGUGUAGUUAUAUAGUAUUAACAUAAUUCAUAUUACUAUUUUUAGUAUAUGAAAUUUUACUUUGAGAAAAUUAGAGUGCUUAAAGCAGGCUUUUGCCCCGAAUACUUCAGCACGGAAUAAUAAUUAAAGAUUUUUAUCUUUCUUUUAUUGGUUCUAAGAUAAAAAUAAUGAUUAAUA
RNAcentral lists this ribosomal RNA (479 nucleotides) under Cryptosporidium sp. rat genotype III. RNAcentral's name for it is "SSU rRNA". It matches the Rfam family "Eukaryotic small subunit ribosomal RNA", at positions 369 to 874 of the family's 1831-position model. Lineage: Eukaryota; Apicomplexa; Conoidasida; Eucoccidiorida; Cryptosporidiidae. The record is from RNAcentral.